RNAcentral lists this transfer RNA (77 nucleotides) under Patescibacteria group bacterium. RNAcentral describes it as "tRNA-Arg". It matches the Rfam family "tRNA". From Rfam's summary of the family: Transfer RNA (tRNA) molecules are approximately 80 nucleotides in length. Their secondary structure includes four short double-helical elements and three loops (D, anti-codon, and T loops). The record is from RNAcentral.
GCGCCCCUAGCUCAGCUGGAUAGAGUGCUUCCCUCCGAAGGAAGAGGUCAGUCGUUCGAAUCGACUGGGGCGCACCA